RNAcentral lists this ribosomal RNA (205 nucleotides) under uncultured bacterium. RNAcentral describes it as "partial 16S ribosomal RNA". It matches the Rfam family "Bacterial small subunit ribosomal RNA", at positions 570 to 774 of the family's 1533-position model. The record is from RNAcentral.
CGCAGGCGGGAAGACAAGUUGGAAGUGAAAUCUAUGGGCUCAACCCAUAAACUGCUUUCAAAACUGUUUUUCUUGAGUAGUGCAGAGGUAGGCGGAAUUCCCGGUGUAGCGGUGGAAUGCGUAGAUAUCGGGAGGAACACCAGUGGCGAAGGCGGCCUACUGGGCACCAACUGACGCUGAGGCUCGAAAGUGUGGGUAGCAAACA